GAUGAACGCUGGCGGCGUGCCUAAUACAUGCAAGUCGAGCGAACGGACGAGAAGCUUGCUUCUCUGAUGUUAGCGGCGGACGGGUGAGUAACACGUGGAUAACCUACCUAUAAGACUGGGAUAACUUCGGGAAACCGUAGCUAAUACCGGAUAAUAUUUUGAACCGCAUGGUUCAAAAGUGAAAGACGGUCUUGCUGUCACUUAUAGAUGGAUCCGCGCUGCAUUAGCUAGUUGGUAAGGUAACGGCUUACCAAGGCAACGAUGCAUAGCCGACCUGAGAGGGUGAUCGGCCACACUGGAACUGAGACACGGUCCAAACUCCUACGGGAGGCAGCAGUAGGGAAUCUUCCGCAAUGGGCGAAAGCCUGACGGAGCAACGCCGCGUGAGUGAUGAAGGUCUUCGGAUCGUAAAACUCUGUUAUUAGGGAAGAACAUAUGUGUAAGUAACUGUGCACAUCUUGACGGUACCUAAUCAGAAAGCCACGGCUAACUACGUG
Molecule: ribosomal RNA, 497 nt
Filed under: uncultured bacterium
Lineage: Bacteria
Description: partial 16S ribosomal RNA
Rfam family: Bacterial small subunit ribosomal RNA
Source: RNAcentral